CGAAAGCCUGACGGAGCAAGACCGCGUGGGGGAGGAAGGCUCUUGGGUUGUAAACCCCUUUUCUCAGGGAGGAACAAAUGACGGUACCUGAGGAAUCAGCCUCGGCUAACUCCGUGCCAGCAGCCGCGGUAAUACGGAGGAGGCAAGCGUUAUCCGGAAUUAUUGGGCGUAAAGCGUCCGCAGGUGGCAAUUCAAGUCUGCUGUCAAAGCACGGGGCUUAACUCCGUAAAGGCAGUGGAAACUGAAUAGCUAGAGUGCCGUAGGGGUAGAGGGAAUUCCCGGUGUAGCGGUGAAAUGCGUAGAGAUCGGGAAGAACAUCGGUGGCGAAAGCGCUCAACUGGGCCAUAACUGACACUCAGGGACGAAAGCUAGGGUAGCG
This 379-nucleotide ribosomal RNA is filed under the name uncultured cyanobacterium. Its description in RNAcentral is "bacterial SSU rRNA". It matches the Rfam family "Bacterial small subunit ribosomal RNA", at positions 376 to 770 of the family's 1533-position model. Lineage: Bacteria; Bacillati; Cyanobacteriota. The record is from RNAcentral.